CUCAUCUGUUCUAUGCUGAUUUGAUGAAUGUCUUGUAUGACAAAAACCAUUACAAGCUGGUUUUGGGACAGAUCAACAUCGCAAAGAAUUUGAUUGACAACGUGCUGCUCUGGGUCGAAUGUGCACCAUCAUGAAGCGACAGAAGCAAAGCUUGGAAUACCUGGAACAAGUGCUCCAGCAUCUUUCCCGUUUACAACUGAUUGAUCCCAAUACUCGGACUCUACUGCUUUGUGGAUAUACCAAUGUGGGCAAGUCUAGUUUAAUCAACAAGGCUUCUGUGACUUCUCCCUGGGCCUCCUCAAUGUCCACCAUUUGAACAUCA
Long non-coding RNA from Salvelinus namaycush (lake trout), 322 nucleotides. RefSeq lists it as uncharacterized. The record is from RefSeq and is a predicted model, not a curated record. Lineage: Eukaryota; Metazoa; Chordata; Actinopteri; Salmoniformes; Salmonidae. The transcript has 4 exons.